UAGCGUAGGGUGCGAGCGUUGUCCGGAAGUUAUUGGGACGUAAAGGGCUCGUAGGCGGUUUGUCGCGUCGGGAAUGAAAUCCACUGGCUUAACUGGUGGCUUGCUUUCGAUACGGGCAGACUGGAGGUAUGCAGGGGAGAACGGAAUUCCUGGUGUAGCGGUGAAAUGCGCAGAUAUCAGGAGGAACACCGGUGGCGAAGGCGGUUCUCUGGGCAUGUCCUGACGCUGAGGCACGAAAGCGUGGGGAGCAAACAGG
Molecule: ribosomal RNA, 256 nt
Filed under: uncultured bacterium
Lineage: Bacteria
Description: partial 16S ribosomal RNA
Rfam family: Bacterial small subunit ribosomal RNA
Source: RNAcentral